RNAcentral lists this unclassified non-coding RNA (292 nucleotides) under plant metagenome. Its description in RNAcentral is "partial contains small subunit ribosomal RNA, internal transcribed spacer 1, and 5.8S ribosomal RNA". The stretch from base 244 to 292 matches the Rfam family "5.8S ribosomal RNA", at positions 1 to 49 of the family's 154-position model. The record is from RNAcentral.
UUUCCGUAGGUGAACCUGCGGAAGGAUCAUUAAUGAGUUGUCAUGGGGUUCGAUGCUGGCAGCCAGUUUUUGGAUGCAUGUGCUUGCCCUAACAGUCAUCUUCUUCCAAACACCUGUGCACAUUUUUGAGGGAGUCUUGAGUUGGUUGCCGCUCUUGGGUGAUUUUCUCACAUUCCCUUAAAUCAUUAUACGCUAUUAACAAUGUUGAACGUGCUCUGUGCCGCAAGGCCAUUAAUAUAAUACAACUUUUAACAACGGAUCUCUUGGCUCUCGCAUCGAUGAAGAACGCGGC